AAGGGCACCAGGAACUGGACCAAGGUCUUCCAUAUGAGUGGCAGGAACCCAAUGACUUGAGCCAUUACUGCUGCCUCCCAGGGUCUGCAUUAGUGGGCAAGUGGAGCCAGGAAUCAAUCACAGGCAUUCCAUUAUGGGAUGUAGGCAUCUUAACUGCCUUUUCAACUGCCAGGCUACAUGACUGCCGCAGAUUCCCUGGGAUAGGAGCUGGCAGACAAGGAAUCGCCACUUGUUUUUUGAUGUUGAAGAUGAGAGGAAGGUGAAACCACAGAUCCAAGGAGCAUAGGUCCUGAAUCACCUCACAGAUGACCCCCACCAACCGGAAACACCUGUAUGGGGUUGUAAGACUGUCAAAAGAGGCCUGUGAUUGCCUGAACCCUUGGGGACAGUUCUGUAAGGCAGCAGCACCAGAGGCAACAUCAUAAACAGCCACGCCUUUGGAGUCCUUGCUUGGAGUCAGUCAACUUGCCAGGUUUGCUUUUCCUCUUCAUCACCCCUUAGGGGGAACAUAGAGCAACAUGCUGUCGCUUUGAUGCCUCUCUCUACUUAAAUUCCAACCAGAAACCAACCAGUUAGGUUCAGUCAAUGAGAGACAUUAGAGGAAGGAAGUGGAAGAUCGGGGGAACUGGACUUCUCAUCUGUGCAUCUACGUUGGCCUAACGGUGUUGUCCCAGAAGUGGCACUGGGCCUCAGCUCCUUUCCGCACUCUGAGGACUGGCCGCUCUGUAUCCCCUAUAGGAAUCACAGCAUCCAGGCGGUUCCCAUGUCUCAAAGCUCAGCUCCCCUCCUCCACAUGGCCUCUUCUCUGAACCGACAGAUUGCUGCCCUAUCAACUGUUUGCUCUUUAACCCUCUACAUUCCUCCACUGAAUUCCAAGAGUGAAACUCCUGGUGCUGUGAUCAUGCUCUUCAGGGUCCCUCUUUGGAGAUGGCCUCCAAGAAGGAGUUACAUGAUUGGUUUUGUUGUAUGUGUGAGUGUAAACGCAGUGCUGAUACCUUGCUAAUGGAAAUGAAAUGCUAGUAUUUCAUGGCAUGCAGUGGCAUCUCCAUUAAAUGUGACUAACAGUGAUAAA
Non-coding RNA from Oryctolagus cuniculus (rabbit), 1072 nucleotides. NCBI's taxonomy places the organism in Eukaryota, Metazoa, Chordata, Mammalia, Lagomorpha, Leporidae. The record is from RefSeq and is a predicted model, not a curated record.